Molecule: RNA transcript, 2871 nt
Organism: Zea mays
Lineage: Eukaryota; Viridiplantae; Streptophyta; Magnoliopsida; Poales; Poaceae
Exons: 21
Source: RefSeq, marked validated
GCCCGCACCACGCACCAGGACAUCGCCACCGGCACCGCACUACGGCGUACAGGAAACCGGACGGACAGCUAUGCCCGACCGCCUCCUUUCUGGUUCUCCUCCUCCCUCCUCCCUCCCGCGCAGAUCUCCACAAGCUUCCAGAGAGCAGCAGCAGCAGCAGCUCGCCUCCACGCGACACGAGGACGGACAUGGCGACCUUCACCAAGCUCGAGGAUUCCCCCAUGUUCCGCAAACAGGUCAAUUCUUUGGAACAUCUUACUGAUGAACUGAAAGAACGGUGCUCAAACCUGCAUAAAGGAUGUAAAAGAUUCAUGGGAUCACUUGAUGAGGCAUAUGCAGGGGAUCUAUCAUUUGCAGAUUCUCUGCAAGCAUUUGGUGCUGGUCUGGAUGAUCCUAUUAGUGUUGCCAUUGGAGGGCCCGUGAUGUCCAAGUUUACUACUGCUUUCAGGGAGCUUGGGACAUACAAGGAACUCCUUCGUUCUCAGCUUGAGCACAUGCUUAGUGAUCGCCUGUCACAGUUCAUUAACGUGGAUUUAAAUGGUGUGAAGGAUUGUCGGCAACGUUUGGAUAGGGCUGCAGUGGCUUAUGAUCAGGCACGUGAAAAAUUUGUGUCAGUGCGAAAAGGGACUAGAGCAGAAGUUGUGACAGAACUUGAGGAGGAUCUACACAAUGCCAAGUCAGCUUUUGAAAGAUGUCGCUUUAACUUGGUACAUGCCCUUGCGAACAUUGAAGCAAAAAAGAAGUAUGAAUUUUUGGAAUCAAUAAGUGCAGUGAUGGAUGCCCAUUUGAGGUAUUUUAAGCAGGGAUAUGAGCUAUUGAGUCAAAUGGAACCAUUCAUUCACCAGGUUCUAACAUAUGCACAACAAUCCAAACAAAUGGCUCUAAGUGAUCAAGAUAAGCUUGCAAAGAGAAUUCAAGAGUUCAGAACUGAAGAGGAAAUAGCUAAUGUGAGAAUGGCUAGCAACGUUGACACGUCUACUAGCGGUGAUGGUAUCCAUGUUGUUGGCCUUCAGUCCUAUAAAACGAUAGAAGCAUUAAUGCAGUCAACUGCUAACGGCGAGGUUCAAGUUAUUAAACAAGGUUACCUAUUUAAGCGUCCUCAAAAUAUACGUGGUGAAUGGAAGAGGAGAUUUUUUGUGCUUGACAGCCAUGGAACUCUGUACUACUAUGGGAAUAAAGGAAAAUCGCAAGGAGUGUCAUCACAACAAACAACUGAAGGUACUGGUGUUUUUGGUCGAUUCAGAUUCUUGAACCAAAGAGUUUCAUCUCAGAGUGAAGAUUCAUUAUCAUGUCAUAGAAUUGAUCUCAGAACUUCAACAAUUAAGAUUGAUGCAGAUGAAAAUGAUUUAAGAUUUUGCUUCAGAAUAAUCUCACCUGUUAAGGCAUACACAUUACAGGCAGAAUCAGGGGCUGAUCAAAAGGACUGGAUCCAGAAAAUUACUGGAGUUAUCGCAUCGCUACUAAAUUCACCAUUCCCACAGCAGUUGUCAUAUGGUAAUGUAGCAGCAGAGAGUAACAGAUCCACAAGUUCUGUUGAUUCUUUGUCUAUUGAAGAUAACAAGAGUUCAGAGGGACAUGAUGAUAUAUUCAACCUUCUGAGGAAUAUCCCUGGAAAUGACAGUUGUGCAGAAUGUCGUUCCCCUGAUCCUGAUUGGGCAUCUCUAAACUUGGGUAUUCUGAUUUGCAUUGAGUGCUCUGGGGCUCAUAGGAAUCUUGGAGUGCACAUUUCAAAGGUUCGAUCCUUGAGACUAGAUGUGAAAGUCUGGGAGCCAGUAAUUAUGGAUCUCUUCCAUGCACUAGGAAAUGAUUACGCUAAUUCCAUUUGGGAAGCCCUGCUUCCAAAAGAAGAUCAAGGAAUGAACGACUCAAAUGGAGCUAUUCUUUUUAUUGAAAAGCCUAAACCUAGUGAUGCUUUCUCAAUAAAGGAGAGGUACAUACAAACGAAGUAUGUGGACAAACUGCUUUUUGCCAGAGAUCCCGAUCAGAAUACCAUUAAUAUUUUGGAAGCCAUAAGGAAAAAUGAUGUGAGAGCAGCAUAUCGAAUUCUUGCAAUAGCUGAAGUCAGUGCUAACAUGACAUAUGAUGCUUUGAGCAAAGAUGUCCAUCAUGUUCAGCCAGUGACAGACAAGAUGUUACUUGAUCCGAUUUCUUGUGAGAUAAUUCAGGACUCUGGAAAACCAGAAGGCUGUCUACAAGGAUUUCCAUGGCCGAACACCAUUGCAUCAUUGUGUCCAAAAGAAAAAUGAUGAGCUCACCAAGCAUCUGCUGAAGAGGGGUGCGAGAACGACAAUUAAAGAUGGCGGAGGUCUGACUGCUCUGGAGAGAAGAAUGGAACUUGGAGCGAUAACUGAUGAAGACUUAUUCAUACUAUUUGUGAGGUGAUGUUGCAAACUUGCAAUACAGGCCUUUGGCAACUAGCUGUUUGUACCUGAUAGCAUUGUAUUGUACCCACCUAAUUUAGCUUCUGGAAAGAACAUGAUUUCUACACCUGAAGACAAAUGCCUUUUACUGUACCACGAUAUAACUUAUGGGACUGCUGCGCUUGGCUGUGUUUUAAAAUUCCACUGGUCGACAUGACCACAUCGUUGGUUUGUACAACAAUUAUAGGCAAUCACAGUAUUCGAUUCUUUGAGUAUGGUUAUUGAGGUAUGAGUUUCUGAUGUCAAGCACGUAAGGAAAGAACACACGAUAAUCGUGCAUGCAUAUUACCGUUGGGCAAUUUUCUUUUUUUAUUGCAAUUUUACAACUGUACUGCAUAUGGUCGACCUGUAACAAUUAUUGAAUUUAUGGGUACGUGUAUCCUGCAAGAUAUGAAUCAACUUGUAACAGCAUCUAAGUAUCGCUUCAAUAAAAAAGUGCAAAUGCAGCAUA